CAAUAGCAUAUAUUAACGUUGUUGCAGUUGAAAAGCUCGUAGUUGAACUUUUGGUAGGAGCGACCUGGCCUUGGGCGCAUGCCCUUGUUUGCCGUGUGUCGUAUCUGGCCAUCCUUUUCUUCUUUUGGAAGGAAUCUUUUACUGUGAGUAAACUGGAGUGCUCAAAACAAGACGUUUGUUUGGUACAUUAAAGCAUGGAAUAAUAAGAUAGGACCUGGUUACUAUUUUGUUGGUUUGCAUAGCUAGGUAAUGAUUAACGGGGACAGUUGGGGGUAUUCGUAUUUAAUUGUCAGAGGCGAAAUUCUUGGAUUUAUGAAAGACGAACGACUGCGAAAGCAUUUACCAAGGAUGUUUUCAUUAA
This 361-nucleotide ribosomal RNA is filed under the name uncultured eukaryote. RNAcentral's name for it is "partial 18S ribosomal RNA". It matches the Rfam family "Eukaryotic small subunit ribosomal RNA", at positions 592 to 976 of the family's 1831-position model. The record is from RNAcentral.